UGAAACACAGUUAUUAGUGAUCAAUUACUGUAAUUACUUAAUAAUCAGUUAAUGACAUCAUUAGCAUUAGCAACUGCUAAUGACAAGUCACUGAAGGGGCCAUUCGGGGAGGGGUAUGUCCUUCCCGAACGGACACCUUCCAUACCCUUUUGGUUUGUAUAUAUCUGUAACAAUACCCUCAAUCAAUUGAACCAUUUCAUUACAUCAUUCCACUUUUCACUUGCCAACAUUGAUCAACACUGAGGAUACAUAAUUGCG
This 258-nucleotide long non-coding RNA is filed under the name Setaria viridis. Its description in RNAcentral is "long non-coding RNA (SVIR_LNC007872)". The record is from RNAcentral. Lineage: Eukaryota; Viridiplantae; Streptophyta; Magnoliopsida; Poales; Poaceae.